UUGAUGGAACAACCCCCGCGUUUUUGAUGAAGGGUUUCGGCUCGUAAAACACUGUUGUAAGAGAAGAAUGACAUUGAGAGUAACUGUUCAAUGUGUGACGGUAUCUUACCAGAAAGGAACGGCUAAAUACGUGCCAGCAGCCGCGGUAAUACGUAUGUUCCAAGCGUUAUCCGGAUUUAUUGGGCGUAAAGCGAGCGCAGACGGUUAUUUAAGUCUGAAGUGAAAGCCCUCAGCUCAACUGAGGAAUUGCUUUGGAAACUGGAUGACUUGAGUGCAGUAGAGGAAAGUGGAACUCCAUGUGUAGCGGUGAAAUGCGUAGAUAUAUGGAAGAACACCAGUGGCGAAGGCGGCUUUCUGGACUGUAACUGACGUUGAGGCUCGAAAGUGUGGGUAGCAAACAGGAUUAGAUACCCUGGUAGUCCACACCGUAAACGAUGAGUGCUAGGUGUUUGAGGGUUUCCGCCCUUAAGUGCCGCAGCUAACGCAUUAAGCACUCCGCCUGGGGAGUACGACCGCAAGGUUGAAACUCAAAGGAAUUGACGGGGACCCGCACAAGCGGUGGAGCAUGUGGUUUAAUUCGAAGCAACGCGAAGAACCUUACCAGGUCUUGACAUCCCUUGACAACUCCAGAGAUGGAGCGUUCCCUUCGGGGACAAGGUGACAGGUGGUGCAUGGUUGUCGUCAGCUCGUGUCGUGAGAUGUUGGGUUAAGUCCCGCAACGAGCGCAACCCUUAUUACUAGUUGCCAGCAUUUAGUUGGGCACUCUAGUGAGACUGCCGGUGACAAACCGGAGGAAGGUGGGGAUGACGUCAAAUCAUCAUGCCCCUUAUGACCUGGGCUACACACGUGCUACAAUGGCGUAUACAACGAGUUGCCAACCCGCGAGGGUGAGCUAAUCUCUUAAAGUACGUCUCAGUUCGGAUUGUAGGCUGCAACUCGCCUACAUGAAGUCGGAAUCGCUAGUAAUCGCGGAUCAGCACGCCGCGGUGAAUACGUUCCCGGGUCUUGUACACACCGCCCGUCACACCAUGAGAGUUUGUAACACCCAAAGCCGGUGGGGUAACCUUCGGGAGCCAGCCGUCUAAGUGACAGAGAUGGGA
Molecule: ribosomal RNA, 1100 nt
Filed under: Weissella confusa
Lineage: Bacteria; Bacillati; Bacillota; Bacilli; Lactobacillales; Lactobacillaceae
Description: bacterial SSU rRNA
Rfam family: Bacterial small subunit ribosomal RNA
Source: RNAcentral